AACGAACGCUGGCGGCAUGCCUAACACAUGCAAGUCGAACGAGACCUUCGGGUCUAGUGGCGCACGGGUGCGUAACGCGUGGGAACCUGCCCUUAGGUUCGGAAUAACUCCCCGAAAGGGGUGCUAAUACCGGAUAAUGUCUUCGGACCAAAGAUUUAUCGCCUUUGGAUGGGCCCGCGUUGGAUUAGCUAGUUGGUAGGGUAAAAGCCUACCAAGGCGACGAUCCAUAGCUGGUCUGAGAGGAUGAUCAGCCACACUGGGACUGAGACACGGCCCAGACUCCUACGGGAGGCAGCAGUGGGGAAUAUUGGGCAAUGGGCGAAAGCCUAAUCCAGCAAUGCCGCGUGAGUGAUGAAGGCCUUAGGGUUGUAAAGCUCUUUUACCCGGGAUGAUAAUGACAGUACCGGGAGAAUAAGCUCCGGCUAACUCCGUG
RNAcentral lists this ribosomal RNA (433 nucleotides) under uncultured bacterium. Its description in RNAcentral is "partial 16S ribosomal RNA". It matches the Rfam family "Bacterial small subunit ribosomal RNA", at positions 29 to 507 of the family's 1533-position model. The record is from RNAcentral.